RNAcentral lists this long non-coding RNA (919 nucleotides) under Ananas comosus (pineapple). RNAcentral's name for it is "long non-coding RNA (ACOM_LNC011786)". The record is from RNAcentral. Lineage: Eukaryota; Viridiplantae; Streptophyta; Magnoliopsida; Poales; Bromeliaceae.
AAUUCAAAAACUUAAAUUCAUCGGAUUUUGGCAAAGGAUUGUCGUAAAUUCAAAUGAGGUUGUCAGUGUCCACCAAUGAAUAUUACAAGAAGAUUUCUAACCCAUCAAUUCUAUUUUAAAAUCUCCAAAAUAAAAAUUUUUAAAUCUAAACCUUAAAAUUCAUAUUUUACAAACUUCUGUAAGAAAAACUCUCAAAUCAUCAUUAUUUAAAGUGCGAGUAAAUGAAAACUCAUCUCUUCCAAACUCUUUCUUCUAGAUUUAAGCCUUUGAAUCUAAGAUAGAGCUUUUUCAAGAGCUCUUACUCCGCUUCUCUAACUCCAACUCCAACUUUGGAUUGAAAAUUGAGCUGCCUAAGAGAAAAGAGAGACUAGCGAUAAAGGCUUUGGAGGAGAAACAAGCGGUGGGAAGGGAGAGGAAGAAGAAGGUGAAGGUGGAGAGGGAGCGGAGGGUGUUUUCUCUCUCGAGGGGGGAGAGAAAUGAGGAGAGACUAGAGAGAGAGAGAGAGAGGGGUAUUUAUAAGGAUUAAUUUUAUACAGAUUUCUGUAAAUAUAGUGAAUUAUAAAUAUAUUUCUAUAAAAUUCAACUUUUAUAUGUUGUUCCUAUAAAAGUCCUAAUAUGUUCAAAUAUGUCCCAAUGGCUUGUUACAAUUAAAACACUGUUUAUUUUAUAAGUGAAAUGACAUUUUUGCUAUCACAAAUAUAUCCGUCCAAAGGUCCCAACUGUUAAUUAGAGAGGGGGUAAAAAUAUCAAUUCACCUUAUUAACUAAUUAGGAUUAAAUAUUUUAUCUUUGAUUAACUAAUUUUUUCUAACGGAUUCUAACGGCAGUGACAUAUUUGAAAACAUCAGUAUUUUUGUAAGGAUAACAUAUAAAAGUUAAACUUAAUUUGUAGAGAUAUACUUAUAAUUUACUAUAUUUGU